This 468-nucleotide ribosomal RNA is filed under the name uncultured bacterium. RNAcentral describes it as "partial 16S ribosomal RNA". It matches the Rfam family "Bacterial small subunit ribosomal RNA", at positions 28 to 507 of the family's 1533-position model. The record is from RNAcentral.
GACGAACGCUGGCGGCGUGCUUAACACAUGCCAGUCGAACGGAAAGGCCCUGCUUUUGUGGGGUGCUCGAGUGGCGAACGGGUGAGUAACACGUGAGUAACCUGCCCUUGACUUUGGGAUAACUUCAGGAAACUGGGGCUAAUACCGGAUAGGAGCUCCUGCUGCAUGGUGGGGGUUGGAAAGUUUCGGCGGUUGGGGAUGGACUCGCGGCUUAUCAGCUUGUUGGUGGGGUAGUGGCUUACCAAGGCUUUGACGGGUAGCCGGCCUGAGAGGGUGACCGGCAAAAUGGGGACAGAGAUACGGCCCAGACUCCUACGGGAGGCAGCAGUGGGGAAUAUUGCACAAUGGGCGGAAGCCUGAUGCAGCAACGCAGCGUGCGGGAUGACGGCCUUCGGGUUGUAAACCGCUUUCGCCUGUGACGAAGCGUGAGUGACGGUAAUGGGUAAAGAAGCACCGGCUAACUACGUG